UUUAUUCCUCUUGCUGUUACCUGUUUCCACAAACUAACAUGUGUCAUCAGUUCAUCCCUGUUAUUUGCCAUAGGCGCAGACCAUGGCAUUCUCCCAGAAACGUACGCAACUUGGACAACCUACGCUCUCUGAAUGCGGCCUCUGCAGGUUCCGUCUCAUUCUCAGUCGGACUUUGGAACUGCCAAUCUGCUGUCAACAAGGCAGAUUUCAUUUCUGCAUUUGCAACCCACUCCAAUCUCAGUGUGCUGGCUCUGACUGAGACCUGGAUCCAUGCUGAGAACACUGCCACACCCGCUGCCCUGGCCUCUGACUUCAACUUCUCCCAUACCUCACGCCCCAACAGACGAGGGGGUGGUACAGGUCAACUGGGGAAGUUCAUUGAUGAAUUUGACACGCUACUGUCCACCAUCCCAGAUGAUGGAACUCCUCUUCUGGUCCUUGGUGAUUUCAACAUUCAUCUAGACAAGCCACAUGCAGCUGACUUUCUUGCUCUCCUUCCCACAUUCGACCUCAAGCAGUUCACCACACCAGCAACCCACAAAGCCGAACAACCUCCUGGACACCAAGCAGUUUGGCUUCAAGAGCAACCACUCCACGGAGACUGCUCUGCUUUCCGUCACUGAAGCCUUACAACUAGCAAGAGCAACCUCUAGAUCAUCUGUCCUCAUCCUACUUGACCUCUCUGCUGAUUUCGACACUGUGAACCAUCAGAUCCUCCUGUCAACUCUCUCCAGCCUGGGCAUCACUGGAACGGUUCUGCGCUGGGUGGAAUCCUAUCUCUCUGACAGAUCCUUCAAGGUAUCAUGGAGGGGAGGUAUUUCUGAAACUCAACAACUCACAACUGGUGUUCCACAGGGCCUGACGAUCCAUCCGUCUCUGCACGCAUCUCUGCUUGCCUUUCGGACAUCUCGGUCUGGAUGAAGGAAAACCAUCUUAAACUUAACCUGGCAAAAUCUGAGCUUCUCGUCAUCCCAGCCUGUCCCUCAAUCAACCACAACCUCACUGUACAGCUCGGCUCACUCACACUCAUGCCAACCAGGACGGCCAGGAACCUUGGGGUGAUUCUUGAUGACGGCUUAACCUUGGCAGACCAUAUCUCAGCAACUGCAAGGUCCUGUAGGUUCAUCCUUUACAACAUCGAGAAAAUCCGACCCUACAUCACCAAACAGGCUACACAGAUUCUAGUCCAGGCUUUUGUUAUCUCUAAACUGGACUACUGCAACUCACUGCUUUCAGGCCUCCCAGCCAGCUCCAUCAAACCCCUUGAGAUGAUUCAGAAUGCUGCAGCGUGCCUCGUCUUCAACCAGUCCAAGAGAACCCAUGUCACACCCCUCUUCAUCUCCCUCCACUGGCUUCCUGUAGCUGCCCGCAUCAAGCUCAAGGCCUUGAUGCUCACCUACAAGACCUUGUCAGGAACAGCACCCUCCUACCUCAACUCUCUCCUGAAGGCCUACAUUCCCUCUCGCAAUCUGCGAUCGAUUAGCGACCGACGUUUAGCAGUUCCAACUCAGCGUGGUGCAAGGUCCCUUUCCAGAACCUUCACACUAACUGUUCCUCAGUGGUGGAAUGCACUUCCAAUCUGAAUCCGGACUGCGGAAUCUCUCACCAUCUUCAAAAAACAGCUAAAGACCCACCUCUUCUAUGAACACCUAACCAACUCACAAUAAUAAAAAAUAAAUAAAUAAAUAAAAAAAUGCACUUACACCUCUACUCUGCACUUUGCUUCUUCUGGAAUUCAAUUAAUAGAUCUUGUAUGGUAGCACUUCUUGUAUCGUUCUCUGCUUGAUAUCGCUUUGCUUGUAUCUUUCUCAUUUGUAAGUCGCUUUGGAUAAAAGCAUCUGCUAAGUGAAUAAAUGUAAAUAUAAAUGUAAGAAGGACGAGAGCAUUGGAGCAGUCAUGCUGCAUGUGGGGGCAAAUGACAUCAGGCUGCGGCAGAUGGAAGUACUGAAGAGGGACUUUGGCAGCCUGUUUGAGACGGUACGAGGCAGAUCGCCCACCACAAAGAUCAAAGUCUCUGGACCUCUCCCCAAAUACAGACGUGGAGCUGAAAGGUUUAGUAGACUUUUCGCUUUGUAUGACUGGUUAAUGACUGCUCUUUGUCAAUAAUUGGAAUCUGUUCUGGGAGGUUCAGGUUCAGGUUGUUCCAUGCUGAUGACCUGCACCCCAGCAGCCUCGGAGUGGAACUCCUGUCAGACAACAUCUCCAAGACGCUACACACCAUGUGACUACCUGCCAUAAGUACAACUUCCAACAAUAACAACACUUAUAAUAAUCAAUGUUCAAUUAAUAGUUCAGCACUUGUAAUACAUUCUAUAGAGACUGUGUCUGUUCCCCGAGCUAAAAAAUACAUAGAAAAUUUCAGAAAUUUUUUUAGCAACCUAACUAACAUUAGCACCUUUGAUCUGAAGCUAGGACUAUUAAAUAUUAGCAUAUCUCUUACGACUAAGGCACAUAUUGUUAACGAAAUCAUUACUGAUCAGGAAUUUAACAAAGUGUUUAACGGAAACUUGGAUUAAACCAAACGAGUACAUAGCAUUAAAUGAAGCCAGUCCUCCUGGAUACAAUUAUAUACAUCAUCCUCAUUUAACUGGUAGAGGUGUUGCACUCAUUCAUAGUCAAAAUCUAGGCGUCACACAAAAACCUAGUCAUAAAUUCAACUUCAAGUUGAAAAAAAAUGUGACAACCCCAGGACUAAACAUUUCACCGACUGGAAACAUUCACACACUAAUUAAUUCAUUAAUAAUACCAGUAUAACAUAUGUAGCCAUAAAAAACAAAUAAAUUCCUCAAAUUAUUAUUUGGAGCCAUAUACUGAAGUCCUUAGUGAAUUUGCAGAUUUUAUCUAAAACCUGGUUGUUUCUCUAGAUAAAGCAUUAACCGUUGAUGAUUUUAAUAUUCAUUUUAAUAACCCGGAAGACCAUCUGAGAACAGCGGUUGUGUCCAUCAGAACGUAAUCAAUCAGAAUGUAAUAGGACCCACUCAUAAUAGUGGUCACACUCUUGACCUGAUACUAACAUAUGGAUUAAAUAUAGAAAAUAUUGUAAUAUUUCCUCGGUCUGAAGUUGUCUCAGAUCAUUAUCUUAUCUCGUUCAUAAUACGUAUUGAUCAUAAUAUUUUCACCUAAUACUAAGAUCAUAAUAUUUGCACCUCGCCUCGCUAAACGCGCAAAACGUACUUUCACAUCAGCUACCGCACAGAGCUUCAUCAAUAACCUUCCGGAGACAACAAUAUACUUUCUGAAUUCUAUCUCGCUCAAACUUUUUUCUCUUUUCUUUUUUAAAAAGGGAUACAAAAGUCAAGAGAUUUUGAGAAAAGAUAGAGAGGAAAUUAAGCGUCUUUUUGUUUCGUUACACAAAUGACCGACAUGCAGUCUCGUUGAAGAUAAUAAGGCUGAUGUCAUGGUUCACAGGUGCCAAAUAUAUAUAUAUAUAAAUCAUUUGCAUUUACAUUCAUUCAUUUAGCAGAUGCUUUUGUCCAAACCGACUUACAAAUGAGAAAAUACAAGCAAAGUGAUGUAUCAAGCUGAGAACAAUACAAGUUGUGCUACCAUAUAAGAUCCAUUAAUUGCGUUCCAGAAGGUCUUGUAGGUGAGCAUCAAGGCCUUGAAUUUGAUGUGGGUGGAGGGAGAUGAAGAGGGGGUGUGACAUGGGUUCUCUUGGGUUGGUUGAAGAGGAGGCGUGCUGCUGUAUUCUGAAUCAUUUGAAGUGGUUUAAUGGAGCUGGCUGGGAGGCCCGAGAGAAGUGAGUUGCAAUAGUCCAGUUUUGAGAUAACAAGAGCCUGGACUAGUGUAGCCUGUUCGGUGAGGUAGGGUCUGAUUUUCUGAUGUUGUACAGAAUGAACCUACAGGACCAUGCAGUUGUUGAGAUGUGGUCUGUAAAGGUCAAACUGUCAUCAAGAAUCACCGCAAGGUUCCAGACCAUCCUGGUUGCCUUGAGUGUGGUUGAGCCGAGCUGUACAGUGAGAUUGUGGUUGAUUGAGGGACAGGCUGGGAUGAAGAGAAGCUCAGAUUUUGCCAGGUUGAGCUUAAGGUGGUGUUCCCUCAUCCAGACCAAGAUGUACGACAGGCAAGCAGAGAUACGUACAGAGACGGAUGGAUCAUCAGGCCAGAACGACAAACAGAGCUGGGUGUCGGUAGCAUAGCAGUGGUAUGAGAAGCCAUGAGACAAUCACCUGCCCCAGAGAUGUUGUGUAGAUAGAAAACAGCAGUGGACCCAGAACUGACCGCUGUGGAAUGCCAGUUGUGAGUUGCUGAGUUUCAGAAAAAUAUCACACAACGUGCUUAAUUGCCACGUCACCUGAGUUUCAGAAAAAUAUCACGCAACGUGCUUAAUUGCCACGUCACCUGAUCAUGGCAGGUCUAUAAAUAGGCAUGAUGUUACACAAGCUUCAGAUGCUGGUCGCGUGUGAGGGCGCUCCCUUAGUGUUAUGCUAAACGCAAUGUGGAGUUCCCUUUGAAAGGGAACACAUGUUUCCCCAUUCAGAUGUUUGAUGUGAAGUUCUUGAUCUGUAUCUGCAUAGUUUUCAUGCACAGUGCUGCUGCCACAUGAUUGGCAUAGCUGCACAAAUGAGCAGCUGUACAGGUGGUCCUAUUAAAAGUGGACAGUGUAUAGGUUUACAUUAACUGUGGAAUUAUACAUACUAAAUAUAUUAAAUGAUAACUGAUGUUAUUUUGUAUACUAUGCUUGUUGACGGUU
Ictalurus punctatus (channel catfish) is the source of this 4693-nucleotide RNA transcript. RefSeq lists it as uncharacterized. The record is from RefSeq and is a predicted model, not a curated record. NCBI's taxonomy places the organism in Eukaryota, Metazoa, Chordata, Actinopteri, Siluriformes, Ictaluridae. The transcript is spliced from 4 exons.